This 85-nucleotide transfer RNA is filed under the name Candidatus Omnitrophota bacterium. RNAcentral describes it as "Candidatus Omnitrophica bacterium tRNA-Leu". It matches the Rfam family "tRNA". From Rfam's summary of the family: Transfer RNA (tRNA) molecules are approximately 80 nucleotides in length. Their secondary structure includes four short double-helical elements and three loops (D, anti-codon, and T loops). RNAcentral also lists the same sequence under 1 other name. Lineage: Bacteria; Pseudomonadati; Candidatus Omnitrophota. The record is from RNAcentral.
GCCGGGAUGGCGGAACGGCAGACGCAAAGGACUUAAAAUCCUUUGAGGAGUAAUCUUCGUGAGGGUUCGAGUCCCUCUCCCGGCA